Non-coding RNA from Pygocentrus nattereri (red-bellied piranha), 397 nucleotides. NCBI's taxonomy places the organism in Eukaryota, Metazoa, Chordata, Actinopteri, Characiformes, Serrasalmidae. The record is from the annotation of a RefSeq genome assembly.
CCAGCAUCUUUCACUCAUUCAGCUUCAACCCCACACCAUGUUCUCUACAUCUCUGCUGCUGCUGCUGACCACUGUGACCUGUGUUCACAGUGUUGAACUGACCCAGCCUGGAUCCAUGGUCAUAAAUCCUGGCCAGUCGAUGUCCCUGACCUGUAAAGUUUCUGGAUAUUCACUGACUGACAGCAGCUACUGUACAGCCUGGAUACGGCAGCCUGCAGGAAAAGCUCUGGAGUGGAUUGGAAGGAUUUGUAGUGGUGGUGGCACUGACUACAGUGAUAAACUGAAAAGCAGGUUUGAAGUUACUAGAGACACGUCCAGCAGCACAGUGACCUUAAGAGGACAGAACAUGCGGACUGGAGACACGGCUGUGUAUUACUGCGCUCGAUAUCCACAGUGA